RNAcentral lists this ribosomal RNA (481 nucleotides) under uncultured organism. Its description in RNAcentral is "partial 16S ribosomal RNA". It matches the Rfam family "Bacterial small subunit ribosomal RNA", at positions 329 to 801 of the family's 1533-position model. The record is from RNAcentral.
ACGUACACUCCUACGGGAGGCAGCAGUAGGGAAUCUUCGGCAAUGGGGGCAACCCUGACCGAGCAACGCCGCGUGAGUGAAGAAGGUUUUCGGAUCGUAAAGCUCUGUUGUAAGUCAAGAACGAGUGUGAGAGUGGAAAGUUCACACUGUGACGGUAGCUUACCAGAAAGGGACGGCUAACUACGUGCCAGCAGCCGCGGUAAUACGUAGGUCCCGAGCGUUGUCCGGAUUUAUUGGGCGUAAAGCGAGCGCAGGCGGUUUGAUAAGUCUGAAGUUAAAGGCUGUGGCUCAACCAUAGUUCGCUUUGGAAACUGUCAAACUUGAGUGCAGAAGGGGAGAGUGGAAUUCCAUGUGUAGCGGUGAAAUGCGUAGAUAUAUGGAGGAACACCGGUGGCGAAAGCGGCUCUCUGGUCUGUAACUGACGCUGAGGCUCGAAAGCGUGGGGAGCGAACAGGAUUAGAUACCCCGGUAGUCCCAUGAU